CCAAUAGCGUAUUAUUAAAGUUGUGUGCAGUUAAAAAGCUCGUAGUUGAACUUCAGACCUGGCUGGGUGGUCCGCUUAACGGCGUGUACUGCUUGGCUGGGCCUUACUUCUUGGUGAGCCGGCGUGCCCUUUAUUGGUGUGCGUCGGGGAACCAGGACUUUUACCUUGAGAAAAUUAGAGUGUUCAAAGCAGGCCUAUGCCUGAAUACAUUAGCAUGGAAUAAUAGAAUAGGACGUGCGGUUCUAUUUUGUUGGUUUCUAGAGUCGCCGUAAUGAUUAAUAGGGACAGAUGGGGGCAUUCGUAUUGCGACGUUAGAGGUGAAAUUCUUGGAUCGUCGCAAGACGGACAGAAGCGAAAGCAUUUGCCAAAAAUGUUUUCAUUAAUCAAGAACGAAAGUUAGAGGUUCGAAGGCGAUCAGAUACCGCCCUAGUUCUAACCAUAAACGAUGCCAGCUAGCGAUCCGCCGAAGUUCCUCCGAUGACUCGGCGGGCAGCUUCCGGGAAACCAAAGCUUUUGGGUUCCGGGGGAAGUAUGGUUGCAAAGCUGAAACUUAAAGGAAUUGACGGAAGGGCACCACCAGGAGUGGAGCCUGCGGCUUAAUUUGACUCAACACGGGAAACCUCACCAGGCCCAGACACCGGGAAGGAUUGACAGAUUGAUAGCUCUUUCUUGAUUCGGUGGGUGGUGGUGCAUGGCCGUUCUUAGUUGGUGGAGCGAUUUGUCUGGUUAAUUCCGAUAACGAACGAGACUCUAGCCUGCUAAAUAGGCGUACCUUAUGGUAUCGCGAAGGCCCCCGGCUUCGGCCGGUGGGUUUUUACUACCAA
This 824-nucleotide ribosomal RNA is filed under the name uncultured eukaryote. RNAcentral's name for it is "bacterial SSU rRNA". It matches the Rfam family "Eukaryotic small subunit ribosomal RNA", at positions 591 to 1393 of the family's 1831-position model. The record is from RNAcentral.